ACGCUCGACACCUACUGGAGGCAGCAGUGGGGAAUAUUGGGCAAUGGGCGCAAGCCUGACCCAGCAACGCCGCGUGAAGGAAGAAGGCUUUCGGGUUGUAAACUUCUUUUGUCAGGGAACAGUAGAAGAGGGUACCUGACGAAUAAGCUCCGGCUAACUACGUGCCAGCAGCCGUGGUAAUCUGAGCGGGCGUGGCAAGGCG
RNAcentral lists this ribosomal RNA (202 nucleotides) under uncultured bacterium. Its description in RNAcentral is "partial 16S ribosomal RNA". It matches the Rfam family "Bacterial small subunit ribosomal RNA", at positions 328 to 538 of the family's 1533-position model. The record is from RNAcentral.